RNAcentral lists this long non-coding RNA (4343 nucleotides) under Homo sapiens (human). RNAcentral's name for it is "HSALNT0039396". The record is from RNAcentral. Lineage: Eukaryota; Metazoa; Chordata; Mammalia; Primates; Hominidae.
GUAUGAGGAUAAAAGCAGAUGGCAGUAGGGGCGGAUAAAAGAAAAAUUAAAUUACACUUCAGAAAGCAGGCUGUAUUGAACCCAUCAACAGCAAAUAACAAAACACUUUUUACUGUAUUUGAAAGUUGCCAUCCUGAUAUCUUAUCAGAUCCUACAAAGAAAAUCAUUUUUGAGCCCUCUAAGCAUUGGGGUGGGGGUGGCGGUUUGGAACUGUAUAGGGUUGGCGUGGCGGACUUGAGGAGGGACGGUUGGGACUUCCUGGCAUUAAAAUUAAAUUAAAUUUUAAUUCCCGGCCGAAUUAAAAUUGCUCCUCGCACGCCCGUUUUUCCAUUAAUGAGGGUUGGGGCUUCUCCCUCACGUUCAUUGACUGAAUGGCUGAUGGAACGAAUGAAUGACUGAAGCCCAGCGUGCAAGAAAAACGGAAGUGAGAUUCCAACAGGAGGGCACCACUGUCCCUGUCUGACCUUAAACCAGGAGAUUUUGUACAGAUGUAUUCCUUCAAGAAAACCAGCUUGUUGGCAGUAAUAGAGAAGAAAUGAGCUUCUCCCAACAACAGCCAACAACAGCCAAUGACAACAGCAAAAUAGGAAAAAGGGUUGCCCUCUGAAAGGUAAAUAAACUCUAUACACAAUAAAUGACCAUCUGUGGAAGUAAAACCGAGAGACAGGCUUUACCACCUCCCAGAACUCCAAUCCAGAUGACCACGGAUAAAUCUCUAGCACGCGGAAUAGAGAUGUCACGGCUGUUAGGUAAGCAGAGAGUAAUGCAGGGUAUAUAUUCCUGGAAGAGAACAGGGUUAGUCAAACUGGAUCUCAGAAAAGGGAGCUGCUGUACAAGACAUUCUAGGAAGCAAGCCUCUGAAUUCUGAAACCCAGACCUGCUGGUCACGGUGGGGCAGGGAUGAUCUUCCAAGCUUCCCUGCGGUCUGCAUGAAAUUCUCUCACCCACACCAGCUUCCUGUGCUCCAAUUCCAUGCCUCUGACUGGUUUCCACUUAAGAAUUAAUGGGUAAAAAGGAAAAAGAAUUAGUAGUAUGAUCUUGUUGCUUCCCCAGAGUCAUCAAUAAAAAGGCAGAACAGAGAGAAAACAAAACAAAACAAAGUUAUACCAGGAGACAGAACUGGGAGAUCUCAGAUCGUCUUCUCUGUGAAUCGGGUGUUGCUACUGAAGCCGUGAUAAUCCUGGUCACCUGAGGCAGAAAAUAAACAUUUCUUCCUACAAAGAAUGUGGGCAUUUUCCAGUGGGAUUUGUGAGCCAGCAAAGACUUAGCAGCAGUUUCUUCACUGCCAAAAAUCUCUAACUUUCCAUGAUGAAAAACUAUUGUUGUCAUUGACCGGCUUUACGAAAUAUUGGCUUACGUUUUAAUCAUCUGUUGAGCAUCAGGCACUAUCCUGGGCACCUGUGAAUCCAUUUGGUCCUCGCAGCUAUUCUAUGACAUGGGCACAUUAUCCUCCUUCACAGAUGAAGAAACAAGUUAAAGAGAUGUUCCCAAAAGAGUUAAGUUAGGAGCAAAGUUAAUACUUGAACCCAAAUCUGUUUCCAGGGUUUUUAUGCCUUUCACUACACCUGCUUUGCAGGAAAGUGAUGAGAAUUUCUAGUAGACGCUGAGUAGGGGCGGUGCUGCACGGCACUCACUGUUUCUGAGAUACUGGUGAUGGGACAGAUAACCGAGAAGGAGACACUGGUGAAUUCUGAAAGGAAGGUGUGCCUCAGCAAAGGCCGCAGGGGAAGACAGGAGGUUCGCUCGCUCACCUUUAUUUGGAAAGCCUUCCUCCCACAUUCCCUAGCAAUGCUAGUCAGUCCCAGGGGUUUGGAUGGGGCUGGCUGCCCGUGGCCCCUGAUCCAGGGGUUGGGGGCAUUGUUGGGAGCAGAGUCCUCCAUGGGACUUCUGCUAGAGCAAUCAGUGCAGACGUGCUCUUGUUUGGGGAUUGCGAUCUGAAGGCCCCCAGAAGCUUGCGACUGCAGGCAGCCAUCUGUCCAGAGACCACCUAAUCAAGAAACCCCUGACACCCUCAUAGGAGACGCCUGCCAUCCAGCUGUACCUAGAGGAGAUCUACCACCCCCUCUGUAACUUUCAGUUUUGUGAAUCAGCACAUUCAUUCUCUCUCUCUCUCGAUCUCUCUCUCUCUCUCCAAAGUGGCAUUUGUCUAGAUGGCUCAGAGUGUGGUCCUCAAUCUUGCAGAUUCGGAUUCAGUUCUGGGACAGCCUCACUAAAUUGCCCUUUUCCAGCCUGUUUCCUCCCUGUAGACAUUGGCAGGGUGCCUGGCAAGCCCAGCCCAGGCUCUUGUCUGUGACAGAUCUGUCACCUUUUAACUCUUUCCCAGGCUUCCUUGUUUACAUUAACAUGUUUCCAGCCAGAGCGGAGAGCCGUAAACAUCUUGAGGGCUGGGGCGGUGUCUGACUCAUGGCUGGAUUCCCCCAAGCCAAUGCAGAGCGGGAACCUAGCGACACUCAAACACGUUUAAGAGUAAAUUUCUGUUUGAGUCACCAAAGUAAAGAAAUCCAGUCCCCAGUACCAAUUGAAAUAAACCACAAAACACUUUGCCGAAUGGAAACUUGUUCUGCAAUGGUAAAGCAUGACUUUAACUUUAGCCAAAUUACUUCCCAGGAGUUAAACUAACUCAUGAUCUCACUGUCCACUGAAAAAAACUGUUCUUAGUCUGUUUGAGCCAUUGUAAUAUAGACUGGGUAACUUGUACACAGCAGACAUCUAUUUCUCCCAGGUCUGGAGGCUGGGCAUCUGAGAUCGGGACCAGCAUGGUUAGGUUCUGGUGCAGCCCAGAGCAGCAGGAGCUGUGCCCUGGCCCCUGUCCUGAGGAGCUCCCACUGGUCAGCCCCGCCUACUCCAGCUGGACCUUGAUGCUUCACACAAGGUGUGCGCAGAGGACACAGGCACUUCAUGGAGCAACAUACUUUUGUAAAAAAAAUGAAUUCCCUUGUAACAAAUAGAGCACGGAGGCUUUUAUAGAUUAAGUAAUUUGUAGUCUUCUUAUAAUUAUGGCUUCUAAAUUACCUAAAAUAAUUCAUUCAAGGCUUGAUUUUAGUUUUGUCUUGAGAGUGUCAACUCUUUAACUUGAGAUGCUGUAGGAUGGGGUUUCAUCUUGGGAUUCUUUUCUUGGAUAUGUCAUUUAAAUUCUGAUACUUAUAUUCCCUAUUUGAAAACACAUGAUCAAUGACAAUACCAAUACCUGAUUUGUGUGCAAUACUUAUAAUUUACAACGUACAUUAUUUUAACAUACAUUCUUUUCAUGCGACCCUCUCAACAACCCUUUGACAAGGCAAGUCAGAGACUAAUUACUAGAGAUUAUUCAAGCGACUUGCUCCAAGUCAUACAGUAGGCAGGCAGCCAAGAUGACUCUAGUUUUUCCAACUCCUAGUCCCACACUCUUUCCUCUCCCCUUACAUGUUCUGAUAUAAAUCAAACUUAGGUUUGAAAAUAUCUUAUUGAUGUAUUUCAACACCCCAGAAUUUGAUGAGACUGGAAUCGAUUUGUUGUGAUCUGUGAUUGCUGAAUUCCUCGUAUGUGGUGGAUACCAAGGUAAGUUGACUAGAAUGUGAGCUUGCCUACCCAGACACCAGUUCCCAUGUCCUUUGUCCGGUGGUAUAAUUUGAAGUUCACUCUUUUUGGUGUACAGUUUUAUGAGUUGAGUUGUGAAAAACAUAUACAGUUGUGUAUCCACCACUACAGUCAAGAUAUAGAACAGUUCCAUUACCUCAAAAAUUUUUUUCAGGCCGGGCGCAGUGGCUCACGCCUGUAAUCCCAGCACUUUAGGAGGCCAAAGCGGGCGGAUCACGAGGUCAGGAGAUCGAGACCAUCCUGGCUAACGCUGUGAAACCAUGUCUCUACUAAAAAUACAAAAAAAUUAGCCAGGCGUGGUGGCAGGUGCCUGUGGUCCCAGCUACUUGGGAGGCUGAGGCAAGAGAACCGCUUGACCCUGGGAGGCAGAGGUUGCGGUGAGCCAAGAUCGCGCCACUGCACUCCAACCUGGGCGACAGAGCGAGAGUCCAUCUCAAAAAGAAAACAUCAUACUCUUUUGUAGUCAACCCUAGCUAGGCCCCUAUAGUUUUGCCUUUCCCAAAGUAUCUUAUGCAUGGAAUCAUCCAGGAGAUAACCUCCUGAAUCAGGCUUCUGUCUCUUAGCAUAAUGCAUUUGGGAUUUACCAUGUUAUUUCAUUUAUCAGGUUUUUGUCCCUUUUCAUUGCUGAGUAGUAUUUCAUUAUAGGAAUGUACUCUCGUUUGUGGAUCAUUCUGAUCAACUCAGCACAUGUGGAUUAUUUCCAGUCUUGGCAAUGAUGAAUAAAGUCACUCUAAGCAUUCACGUACAGGUUUUUGCAUGAAUAAAAU